GAUGAACGCUGGCGGCGUGCCUAAUACAUGCAAGUAGAACGCUGAAGGAGGAGCUUGCUCUUCUGGAUGAGUUGCGAAUGGGUGAGUAACGCGUAGGUAACCUGCCUGGUAGCGGGGGAUAACUAUUGGAAACGAUAGCUAAUACCGCAUGACAACAGUUAUUGCAUGAUAACUGUUUAAAAGGGGCAACUGCUCCACUACCAGAUGGACCUGCGUUGUAUUAGCUAGUUGGUGAGGUAACGGCUCACCAAGGCGACGAUACAUAGCCGACCUGAGAGGGUGAUCGGCCACACUGGGACUGAGACACGGCCCAGACUCCUACGGGAGGCAGCAGUAGGGAAUCUUCGGCAAUGGACGGAAGUCUGACCGAGCAACGCCGCGUGAGUGAAGAAGGUUUUCGGAUCGUAAAGCUCUGUUGUAAGAGAAGAACGAGUGUGAGAGUGGAAAGUUCACACUGUGACGGUAUCUUACCAGAAAGGGACGGCUAACUACGUG
This 495-nucleotide ribosomal RNA is filed under the name uncultured bacterium. Its description in RNAcentral is "partial 16S ribosomal RNA". It matches the Rfam family "Bacterial small subunit ribosomal RNA", at positions 28 to 507 of the family's 1533-position model. The record is from RNAcentral.